GAUCCUGGCUCAGAAUCAACGCUGGCGGCGUGCCUCAGACAUGCAAGUCGAACGAUUAAACUUUCCUUCGGGAAAGAUAUAAAGUGGCGCACGGGUGAGUAACACGUAAGUAAUCUACCUUCGAGUGGGGAAUAACGUUCGGAAACGAACGCUAAUACCGCAUAAUGCAGCGGCAUCGCAAGAUGACAGUUGUUAAAGGAAUUUAUUUCGCUUGAAGAGGAGCUUGCGGCAGAUUAGCUUGUUGGUAAGGUAACGGCUUACCAAGGCUACGAUCUGUAUCCGGUCUAAGAGGACGGUCGGACACACUGACACUGAAUAACGGGUCAGACUCCUACGGGAGGCAGCAGUCGGGAAUUUUGGGCAAUGGGCGAAAGCCUGACCCAGCAACGCCGCGUGAAGGAUGAAGUAUUUCGGUAUGUAAACUUCGAAAGAAUGGGAAGAAUAAAUGACGGUACCAUUUAUAAGCUCCGGCUAACUACGUGCCAGCAGCCGCGGUAAUACGUAGGGAGCAAGCGUUGUUCGGAUUUACUGGGCGUAAAGGGCGCGUAGGCGGCGCGGUAAGUCACUUGUGAAAUCUCUGAGCUUAACUCAGAACGGCCAAGUGAUACUGCAGUGCUAGAGUGUAGAAGGGGCAAUCGGAAUUCUUGGUGUAGCGGUGAAAUGCGUAGAUAUCAAGAGGAACACCUGAGG
This 690-nucleotide ribosomal RNA is filed under the name uncultured Acidobacteriota bacterium. RNAcentral's name for it is "bacterial SSU rRNA". It matches the Rfam family "Bacterial small subunit ribosomal RNA", at positions 15 to 715 of the family's 1533-position model. The record is from RNAcentral. Lineage: Bacteria; Pseudomonadati; Acidobacteriota.